ACUGCUUUCAUAGCAUAUGAAGAAGAACCGGUUCCUAAUAUAGCAGCAAUACGAAAACAAACGCAAGAGAGCACAGAGGCUUUUCAUGAGCACAGGUCAACAUAGGACUAUAGUCUAUAGGUGAUUAGUUGAUACAAUAAAACAACAUAACCACUACCAAAGGGUCUACUGAGAAGCAGAGGUUUAAUUGAGUUUGAAGCAUUUCCUCCCUUAAACAGGUCCCAAUUUGUGCGACAAUUAGGUCAGACAGAAUCAUAAAAGCGUAGAUGGAUCAUUUUCCCGGUACACAUCAAUGCAAUUGGAUUAUAUUACACAUAAAAACAUAUUUGCAUCGUUUUCAAUAGCCCUAAAUUACUAUCUUUUUUAUCUUACAGAUCCCAAUUUGUGUGCUGAAUUUUCUUAAAAAACAAAUCCAGCAAAGUUCAUAAAAUAUAGAGAAUUAGGUCAAAGAAAAAAAGAAAAUCGGAAAACAUACCAAGGGAACGCCAUAUGAAUCGGCAGUGUAGGCUUCGCCUUUUCCCCGUUCUCAUCCACUUCCCGGUGACGAUAGUUUUUAGAGGACUGCAAAUUUGGGGGAAA
This is a non-coding RNA of Lactuca sativa (garden lettuce), 579 nucleotides long. The record is from RefSeq and is a predicted model, not a curated record. NCBI's taxonomy places the organism in Eukaryota, Viridiplantae, Streptophyta, Magnoliopsida, Asterales, Asteraceae.